UACGGGGGGGGCAAGCGUUGUUCGGAAUUACUGGGCGUAAAGGGCGCGUAGGCGGGCUGACAAGUCUGGGGUGAAAUCCCGCGGCUCAACCGUGGAACUGCCUUAGAUACUGUCGGCCUCGAGGAAGGUAGGGGCAUGCGGAACUGUAGGUGGAGCGGUGAAAUGCGUUGAUAUCUACAGGAACUCCGGUGGCGAAAGCGGCGUGCUGGACCUUUUCUGACGCUGAGGCGCGAAAGCUAGGGGAGCAAACGGG
Molecule: ribosomal RNA, 253 nt
Filed under: uncultured bacterium
Lineage: Bacteria
Description: partial 16S ribosomal RNA
Rfam family: Bacterial small subunit ribosomal RNA
Source: RNAcentral